UCCGGUGGCUACAUCGGAGGGGUCCCACCCGUUCCCAUCCCGAACACGGUAGUUAAGCCCUCCAGAGCCGAUGGUACUGCACGGUUUCCGUGUGGGAGAGUAGGUCGCUGCCGGAA
This is a non-coding RNA of Deltaproteobacteria bacterium 13_1_40CM_3_69_14, 116 nucleotides long. NCBI's taxonomy places the organism in Bacteria, Deltaproteobacteria. The record is from Rfam.